CAAAACCUGCUGCGGAUUCGUGGUUUUGUAGCUGACCGUUACGAGUACGUAGGUUGGUCAGGUAUAACUACAAGAAAUGAGAAUCGGACAGUCACAAGAAAUUUUCAUUGAUGAGGAAACUGGGCAGUUGAUGGUUGAAUCCAGCCUUUUUUUUAACCUGCCAUUUGAGUCUGUACCGCUUUCCUCUCCCUUCUUUGUUUGAACUCUAGAACAAAAAAAAAAAAAAACAACCAAGAAAUCUGUUGUCAUAGAUGUACAUCUACGACGCACCCUCCAUCAUGAUCUGGCUUUUGUCAUAAAUUUGUAAUUGAUUUUUUUUUUGUGGGGGAUAAAUUUGUAAUAGAUGUUCAUCUGGGACGAGAAGUUGUAUCCCGAUCAAAAUAACCUUGUGGUGGAUACCUGAAGAGAGUGCCAUCCUUCAACGUAACCUUGUGGUGGCGGACUUUUGCUUCUCGAUGAAGUUGCUAGAACAAGUAGUGGAAGCUCAAGGGAGGGGGAGGGGGCAGCUCAGGCUUUCAAGGAGAGAGUUAUUAAGGAUGGAUCUUGGGAGGAAGGGGAUGACACAAACAAUGUGGAUGAAGAUGACGACUUGUGUUCAUAAGGUGGCUUCAAAAAAGUUUGGGGUGACCAGGGGAAGUCAAGAUGAAGCUAAUUAAAGACACUUGGUUACGGAACAAUGAUGUCAAAACAACUAUUAAGCAGAAAAAAGAUUUGUUAGCGCCUAUACCGGGGUCAACAUAGAGAAAUACAAGGUGGCAAAGAAGACCACAAAACGAGUUGUGAGUGAAACAAGGGGUCAGACGUAUGAGGAUCUCUAUCAGCAUUUAAAUACGAAGGAAGACAUAAGUGACAUUUAUAAGAUUACCAAGAUCCGAGAGAGGAAGAUGAGGGAUGUCAACCAAGCUAAAUGCAUCAAUGCUGGAGCAAAUCGACAUUUGGUGAAGGACGAGAAGAUCAAUAAUAGAUGGCGAGGAUACUUUUUGUGCAACGAAUCCAUGAGUAUGACGUUAGGGAGGCUCUAAAAAGAAUGAAUGAAGAACGGGUCUUGAUUGUAUCCCAAUUGAGUGGAAAAGCCUUGGAGACAUAGCGGUAGUAUGUCCAAAUAAGCUUUCCAAACACAUUUUUCGGGCAAAUAAGAUUCUCGAAGAAUGAAGGCGGAGUAUAUUAGUGUCAAUCUACAAGAAUAAGGGGAAUAUUUAAAAUUGUACUAAUUACUGCGGAAUUGAUCUGAUGAGCCAUACAAUGAAGCUAUGUGAAAAGUCACUAAAUACCACUUAAGAAAAAUGACAAGCAUGACCAAAAAAUCAAUUUGAUUUCAUUUGUGGGAGGUCGACCAUGGAAACUAUUUACUUGGUACGACAACCUAUGGAGAGACACAAGGAUCAAAGGAAGGACAUGCAUAUGAUGUUCAUUGACUUGAAGAAGGCCUAUGAUAAGAUAUCGCGUAAUAUCAUGUGGUAGGACUUGGAAAAAUACACAGUCCCAACAAAGUACAUUAACCUCAUCAAGGACAUGUAUCAUAAUAUUGUGACAAGUGUUCAGACAAGUGAUGGUGGCACUGAUGACUUUCCAAUUAAAAUAGCCAUGCACCAAGGGUCAACUUUGAGCCCUUAUCUUUUUUGCUUUAGUAAUGGAUGAGGUCACACGGGAUAUACAAGGAGAUACCCCAUGGUGUAUACUCUGUGCAGAUGAUGUGGCGCUAGUCAAUGAUAGUAGGACAAGGGUUAAUAUAGGGGCCGUGGCUAUCUGGCGCGCGAGCGUUCCAACGCCCGUUUUCCGACAGGCUUCAAUUUGGAAAGUGGCUUAACUACGUGGAUUAGUUAGGCUAGUCAUAGUGGGGAGUAUCAUAUACUAGUAUCAUGCAUAUGAUAUUAGUGUACGAUACAACCUUCAUAGUACAUAGUAUUAUAAAGUAGUAUCAUAGAUGAUCAUAUUUAUUGCCAUGCAUGACACAGAGUAGCAUAGCAUUUAACAUGAUACGGUAUCUACCUAUGUUACUUUAGCCCUAUCUCUCUUCUUUAAUUGUGUGCCACAUAAACAUGUUUGCUAGUCCCAAGUGCAUGUUACCGGUUAUGUUACCCCCACUAUGGCUAGCCUUAGGGGCGAUUAAUUGGAGCCCCCCUGAAAAUCAGGAGGGGGCGGUGAUUAGUGUUGAUUUGGGUGGGGCCGCCUCCGGCCCUCUUGCCUUACCUAGCCUUUGCAUGUGUGUGCGCUGGAAGUCUCAUGCGGUGGGCCUUGAUGGAAAGACUUGUCGGCUGAUUAGUUGCACUGGAUUAGAUCGCUCGCUGCAGCGGCCGAUCGCUAGGAAGUCAUUUCGUAAUAUAGGAAAUUAGAGUUGUGGAGACAGUUAUUAGAAUCGAAAGAUUCUAGGCUUACUAGAACUUAAACUGAGUAUGCGAGGUAUAGUUUCAAUACUAUUAGGCACGAGAAGGGAGAGAUCAUCCUUGAUGGGUAGGCGGACAAGAAUGGUGAUGUUGACGAACAUGUGAGCCAUGUAAUCAAAGUCAGAUGGAUGACGAAGUGUUGCGAAGCUUCGUGUGUCCUACUCCUAUGUGACAUGAGAAUUUCACAAAAGCUAAAAGACAUAUUCUAUAGGACAUCGAUUCGACCUAGGAUAUUAUGUUGACUAACUAAAAGGUGACAUGUCCAACUGUUAGGUGUAGCAAAUAUGCGCAUGCUGAGAUGGAUGUGUGACCACACAAAGAAAAGAUCAAGUCUGAAAUGUUGAUAUAUGAGAUAGAGUUGGGUAGCACCAAUUGAAGAGAAGCAUGUCCAGUAUCCUCUAAGAUGGUUUGGGUAUAUACAACGUGGGCCUCCAGAAGCGUCAAUGCAUAGCGGAAGGAUAAAGUGUGUUGAUAAUGUCAAGAGAGGUUUGUGUAGACCAAACUUGACAUGUGAGGAGUCCCUUAAUAAAGACUUGAAAGACCCGAAUAUCACCAAAGAACUAGCCAUGGACAGGGUAACAUGAAAGUUAGCUAUCCACGUGCUAGAAUCAUAACUAUCAUAACUAGGUUCGAGAUCUUGUGAGUUUCAAAUCUAGCCAAUCCCUACUCUUUUAGGGAAUCUAGCCUAUCUCAACUUGUUUGGGAUUGAAAGACGUUGUUGUUGUUAUUUGUAAGAAGCUCAUUAUUGCAUUUGGGUGGAUAAUCCUCUUAUUUUUAUUACAUCACUAUUAACUAACGAUAUAAGUAUAAUUCUUCUUUAUUCUCUAAAAUCGGCUCCUAAAUCCAAAUGCAACAUCAUGUUAAGCCACGUCGUUUCAAAAGAAGUUGUAGAAUUAUAUUAAGAAUCAAUCAAGGCCAAGAUCUUGGCAAUUGGACCCAUAAACAGGCAUAUCCUUCAUUGAAAAGACAUGCCCAUGCCCUUUGGUGAAAAGAUGUUUCUUCAUGAAAAUACAUUGGUGAAAAGAUGUCUCUUCGUUGAAAGACAUUGGUGAAACGAUGUUUCUUCAUUAAAAGACAUUGCUGAAAAGAUGUCUGUUCGCAUAAAGACACGUUCCUUGAUAAAAAUACAUCUCUUCACUAAAAGACAUAUUGUAAAAUAAAUUAAAGGAAAAAAUAUAUUAGAUUAACAUGUUACAAAAAUUAUUUGUAACUUCCAAAAAAUGCGACAAUCGAGAUUGUCUUAAUUGAGUUAGAAAACUAUGUACCAAACAUUACCGUUUGAAUUUGUUUAUGCAUUUUGACGAUAUUUAAACUCAACCCUGCCGUUUAAAAAUAUAUUGUAUACAUACAUAAUUUUAAACGAACUUGCUAUAUAACAAUACCUGCUACAAAAGUGUGGGCUUUAAGAAUAACAAACAAGUUGCGAGAUGAGCAUAGCUCAAAUGGUUAGUUUUUUUGUGCUGUAACCAGCUCACCGGAGUUUAAGUCCUAGACUUGAUAUUGAUGUUCACAUUAUCCUGGAUUUAUUUCAGACUUUCUAGCGAUGUUCGUUCAGCGAGAGUCGAUUACGAGACGUAUGUGGUGACUUGUGACUUUGUCAAUUUCAAGAUAUUGUGUUGUCUCGGUAUUUUGAAGAUACUCAUAGGGUAAGGAUAUGUGUGUGGGCUCAUAGGCGUAAGUUUAUGUAACCAUCUAUCGAUUGUACCGUGUUAAAACACAAUAAUAAAAAAGUUGACACGAUAGCUUUCCCCCAAAAAAGGAAAACCGAGAGUUGAUUGAUCUGAGGGACACCCAUCCCCGGGAUAAAAAAACUGAGCGACACCCUAACGGCACUCACCGUGUGGAUCAAUUCAAAAAACUGAACAAACCCUCGGUAUAAAUUUGUUGUAACAACUCAACAAACCCCCGAACGGCAUUACGGAUUCAAGUACUUCUGGAUCGAAAUGGCCCGUUGACUGUAGAUGCUGCUAGAGGCACGUGCCCACGAGUUUGUCGGGCACGCAGACGCAGGAGGCACACGACCAAUUCCACUCGGCAGCCGCACGUAGCUUAGCGAUAGGAAGCUUCCUGCUACGGGAACGUGUAGUCUUCUCUUCUGUGUCCAACUUUUCUUCUUCUUCUUCGGACGGAAAAUGUCUGCAUGGCGUUUGCAUGGAUAAGUCUGGUUCAACAAGCCUCCUUUUAUUAGGCACCGAUCGCGCCGACUGAGGAGGUAGCCUCCUCUUCCUCCUCCCCUCCUCUCCUUCCGGCCGAUGCCUACGACGACGGACGGGGCCGACGCCCCCGACCUCGCCGGCCGCGCAAUGACCCGCUCCUCCUCCUCCUCCAGCCCACCGCCAGCCGCGUGCCACCUCCAGAUCACAACUGCUGCCACCACCGCCGCGACCGCAAACACCUCCGCCAAUCCCUCCUCCCCCGUCGCCCAGUCCUCCUCCUCCUCCUCCCGCGUCGCCGGAGCCGCCGCCGGGUCCGGGCAGAACCAGGCCUGCGCGGCCUGCAAGUACCAGCGCCGCAAGUGCAACCCGGACUGCCCGCUCGCCCCUUACUUCCCCGCCGACCAGCAGCGCCGCUUCCUCAACGCGCACCGCCUCUUCGGCGUCGGCCACAUCCAGGCCACGCUCCGGGAGACCCCGCCCGACCUGCACACCGACGCCAUGCGCGCGCUCAUCUUCCAGGCCGAGGCCCGGGCCUACGACCCCGUCGGGGGCUGCUGCCGCAUCAUCCUCGACUACGAGAGGCAGCUCGGCCUCGCACAGGCCGAGCUCGCCGCGCUCCUACGCCACCUCGAUCUCUGCCGCCACCAGGCCGCCGCCGCCGCCAUCGCCCAGGACGCGCUCGUCAACGACCCAGGGAUGCUGCUGCUUGCCCCCGGGCCCAACCCGGCCGAUGUCCAGGACGGUGUCGCCGCUCUCGACCCGCUCUACGCCGGCCACGAGAUCAGCAAUGGCCAGGCUAACCACCACGACCACGAUCAUUAUCUGGUCGGCGCCGCGGACCAGCUGCAGCUGCAACCGCAGAAGCACCAGCCGUACGACUACUUCUACUACGACGGGCCGGCGGCCGUCGACGAGACCAGCAGCCACGCUUGGAGCAAUGCCGGCAACGUGCAGCAGCAGUACGGAAAUGGCGUCAAGGCCGAAUCUCCGGUGGCGCUCGACGAUCAGAUCGAGACACAGUUCGUCGACGCUUUCGACGUGAAGCCAGAGAUAGCAGCAGCAUCAUCAUCAGUCGCCGUCAUGGAACACGACGACGGCGGCAGUGGCGCCAGCUUCGACCACCGCCACCUGGAGCAGAAGGUGGUGGCCACCGUGGUGAAAAAUGAACGGCUUGACCACCAGGCGGCGGCGCACAUGGCAGCAGAGUCGUCCUCGCGCUGCCAGCUGGAGCUAGGGUUCACUUCCUUCUGAUGCAUGUAGAUUUCAUCCAUCCAUGACCAUGCAAAGGCUGGAACGGCGCGUGGUGGACAUAGACCCCUUUUGGGCGAGGCACAGUUUCUGUUCUUCACCCCAUUUCAACAGGGUUAAGAAAUGCUUCUUCUCUGUUGCAUUUCUCAAUUUAGUUUCCACGUAGUGUUAGUUAAUUCAGCUAGCUAGCUAAUAAUCCUUAGCUUUAGGUCACAGAUUAGUUACAAUAAUAUUCCUCACCAUUGGUUAUGCGAGGAAAAUAAUAAUUAGUUAGUACUGUUGAUAAAAUAUUUGUACUCCAUCUUUUUAGUUAGUAUCUAUGAAAGGAGUAGCUCGUUUUGGACUACAAAAAUAUACCGUGUCAUUUUUUUUUCCAUGAGAUGGGGUAAUAUUUUGCAACAUAUGUAUUGAUGAACUUUUUCACAAAGGCACAUAUCAAGUUCACUCCUUUCGUCCCCUCAAAAAAAAAAAUCACUCCUUUCGUAAAUGAGCAUGCAUGUUUCUAUCUAACGGACACACUUUCGAAUACUUGUAAUCUAGUUCAAAGUUUAUUUUCAUGCCGGCCUUAUUGGAGUAGGUUUGCCGGAAAGCUGCCUGAAUUUUGAAUUCGGGUCAGUCGAUUCGGCGGAGAAGCAAGCAAGCGACGGGGGCACAACAACUAAGCCGCCUAAGGCGGCGCCGGGGCAAGCGGUAGCGAGGCCCAUGGAGGCAGACAAGGCCUUGGCCAAGAACAAACUGUAGCCGGCGGUAGCUGAAAUCUUGAUGAUUCAAGGCCGGGGGUGCAAGCUCGCCAGUUUAGAGGGAUGGACGUGGGCGACACCAGCACGAUCAUGGGUGGUAGUGAGGGGAAGGCGGGCCGCGCGGCUGGUAUGGGAGCGCCACCGGUAGCGGAGGGCCGAGGCAGGCGGUUUGGCCAUUGGUUCGUGGGGCAGUUUGGGGAACCAGAUGAACAAAGAGGGUGAAAGGUUGAAGAAGGCCAUCUAUUGGACGGUUAAAAACAAAUUUACUGUUCUAAUUUUCUUUUCAGUCGACUGACCCCUAGCUAGUCAUUUAUCAUAGCUUCAUUAGUCAAGAAUAUUUGUUAACACGGGCGAGAUGAUAUCGUGGCACUCUUUAAGUUUAUCAUGCAAAUGAAUUUGAUUGUACAAAACAAAUGGCUAUAGUAGGUUAGGCAUAAACAUCAUUUUCAGAGGUAGAAGAAAGUGAUCCAGCCCUGAAGUUUUCAUCCAAUGCCUUAGAUCAGUUGAUGGACACAGAUUUUUUUUCAGCUACCCAUUGAAUGGUGCUUCCAUAUUUUCUCAUACUAGUAACAGUAUAGUAGGGGACUUCUUCUUUUCUACUAGCACAGAUGCAAACUGAAUGGGUGACGCUACUUGACGGCCAAGCCUCCGAGAUCGAGUGACGUGCAUCGGGUGUCUUCCUGUUAGCUAGAUAGAGUGGACAGAUAUCUACACCAAGAUAUCUACACCAAGAUGGUUAUCAAAGUGUAGCCCCGUGUCGCCCCCCCGCGGGCGACCCGGGCGCCCAACCCUAGCCGUCGCCGAACCCAGCCCCCACCUCCUUCCUCUCCUCCCGCCGCCGCCGGCGGGCGCCGCCGGGCAAAGCCCGCGCGGUGCCGACGGCGGCGGGAUCUCGUUUCCUCGCCUGGAACAGGGGCCNNNNNNNNNNNNNNNNNNNNNNNNNNNNNNNNNNNNNNNNNNNNNNNNNNNNNNNNNNNNNNNNNNNNNNNNNNNNNNNNNNNNNNNNNNNNNNNNNNNNNNNNNNNNNNNNNNNNNNNNNNNNNNNNNNNNNNNNNNNNNNNNNNNNNNNNNNNNNNNNNNNNNNNNNNNNNNNNNNNNNNNNNNNNNNNNNNNNNNNNNNNNNNNNNNNNNNNNNNNNNNNNNNNNNNNNNNNNNNNNNNNNNNNNNNNNNNNNNNNNNNNNNNNNNNNNNNNNNNNNNNNNNNNNNNNNNNNNNNNNNNNNNNNNNNNNNNNNNNNNNNNNNNNNNNNNNNNNNNNNNNNNNNNNNNNNNNNNNNNNNNNNNNNNNNNNNNNNNNNNNNNNNNNNNNNNNNNNNNNNNNNNNNNNNNNNNNNNNCCUCGCUGGUGCGGGCGGCGCUCCUCCGGCGGCAGGGAGUGCUCGUCGGUGAGGUAGGCCGGAUCCCCUCGGCUGCGCGGGCAGCGAGGUCCCGGUGGGCACUGGUCAUGGCGCGGGGAGGCCCCGGGCUCCCCUCGUCAGAUCGGAGGCGAUCUGGUGCGCUCGUGAUGUAUGACCUCCGGCCGGCCUGGAUCUCCGGCGUGCACGCGCCUGCUGACGUUGUGGCUGGUUCGGAGGUGGCGGCAGGGUGCUUGGCCGGGGGAAACCCUUGGCCGCCGGUGGCGGUCAUGGCGUCAAUGGCGUCCCGGACGCCAUUCCCUCCUUGGUGGCGGCGCCGAGGCUAAACCUCCCCUGCCUCCCCCCUUCCCUUGCGCCCGGGUGAAAACCCUAGCCCCGGUGGUUAAGCGGCGGCGGCGCCACAGCGUCGUCACCUUCUUGAAGGCGUCGACUUGGGCAUGGGGAUGUUGGGCGUGCAUGGCGAGAUUGUCUGGAUCCUGGUGGCGGCCCGUCUGAUCUACCGCGUCGCAGCUCCGGGCAUGUCUCGUGACUGCGGUGCUUAUCUUCCGGCCGUGUCUCCGACGGCGACCUCGCCCUUCCUCAUCUUGUACUUGCCGUGGUGGAGCGGUACUUCAUCUCACUCAUUGAUGGCGGCGGAGUUCGGCGGCAUGGCGCUGUGGAGGCUCGGCGUCCGAUGCGCGGAGAUGGACUCACGCAGGAGGAGGUAGCUGUCUGGCGUCAUGGUGACGUCGAUGGCAGAAGUGGCCUUCACAAGGUAGAAGACUCAAUAUAAUCUGAAGAAGGACCUGUGAAAGAUGGCGGCGACGACACAAGAGUGCGUCUGACCGGAUUGUGCCCCAGACCCGGUAUGUGGCUCGGCCGGGGCUUCCGGCUUUUGAUGUUAGGUUUAGGUGAGUGGUUUGGGUAGUGGCCCAGCUAGCAUCCCUUCAUCAUAUGGAUAAGAGUAGCGGCAUAUGUUGCCAAGAUGGUGGAUUCAGGUAUAUUGUUUGUAAUACUUUGUAAGGUCCUCGAGAAUAAUUAAUAAAGUGGUCGUAUGCAUCUCCCAGAUGCAGAGGCCGGGGGUCAUCCUCCUUUUCUAAAAAAAAAAGAUAUCUACACCAUGCAUAUGAUUCCUAAGGGAUAUCUACACCAAUUCAGCAUAACCAAACUUAAAGAAAAGAAAAGGUUUUGGUCGAUGGUGAUAUGAUAGCGACGAAGACUCAGCCUACUAGAUUUUUUGUGUGUGUGGACAAUAUCCUACUAGUUUUUCUUUUUCAAAAAACAUGAAGAAAUAGGAAUAAAUGAAAUUCAACUAAAGUAGGGGAAAACAUACGUAGCAUUAGAUGUACACGGUAAAUACAGUGUGACGUACAUAUAGGACUUGGUGAAAUGAAAACUAAUUAAUCCUUAAUUGAUUUUAUAACCUUUUGUUAUAGGUUUUUGUAAAAAAAUCAUCUUUUUACAGUAAUAAUUUGUUCAUCUAGUAUAUAGCAUUGUGGUUAGCCGGGUGGGAAUUAUUUCAUACAAAUCCAGAAAGUAUUCUAUGAGUCGUGAUAAUUUGUUCACCUAGUAUACAAAGAUAUAGUAGUAGCACUAAAUCAACGAUAAUUAAUAUGGGACGGAGAGAGUAGUAUUUAUUCUCAAAGUUCAAAAAAUAUGGAGUCUUGCAUGGAUCUUAGAGGAUUGUUUUUAACAAAAAAAAUUGCACUGGUGAUGGUUCUCAACAUUGACUAAGAGCCAAGACGUUUUUGUUUUUUUGGAGAAACGUCUGAUCUAUUCAUGAUCAAUCAUGACGCCAUAAAGAACAUUAGAGGUAAUAAAAAUUACAACCAAGUCCAUUGAUCAUCUAGCGACGAAUACAAGCACUAGAACAAGCCGAAGACGCGUCGCCAUUAUUGACCUCCCUCACUGGAACCGGGCAAAUCUUGUUGCAGUAAAGAGUGAUGAAGUCAUCAUGCUAAGGCCCUGUAGCACCAGCGCACUAGAGCAGCAACCAUCGUCGGUGAAGAUAGUCGUAGAUCAAAAUGAUCAAAUUUGUAAACACUCAAAAGAAGACAAACAAAGUUUAGAUCCAAACCAAUCCCCGGAAGAGCAACACUGACUGAAUUCCGCAAGAUCCAAUGAAGACAUAUCUCCACACGCUCUGUGAUGGUACUAGACACACCAUGAGGAUGGAAAACAUGAGUCACAUCGCUGCCGCCACACAACUUCAACUUGACUAGUUCAACCUCCUGCCGUUGGAUGAUUAAAAACCUCCAAACCGUUCGAUCCGAGCAAUGGUGACCCCCGUUAGAGAUGCCUUAGCUCCUGGUACUUCUGGGAGCAAAUCAUUGGAUUAUCCCCGAAGCUGCUCUGGCGCAAUUGACUUGACUAGUUCUUUUUUGUUUACAGUAAUUUACUUGACUAGUUUAUUUAUUCGAAAAGGCUAGCAAGCGUCCGGUACCAUGCAUAUCAAAAUCAGAUGAGGCGUGAGCGAUCAGUAAACCUUGAUCGGUCACCCCGAGCAACCAUGCUGUCACGUUGACCUGAUCGAUCGUAAAAUAAACGAAGGUUCCGUACGUUUGGGACUUGGGAUUGGGAGUGAUGGGCUGACGACGUAACUAGCACGUGACGCGGAAUCUAGCUCUCGUGUAGUUUGACAAUUCCAAGUAGGAUUUUUUUUUACCAUGCAAAAAAAAG
This 10539-nucleotide long non-coding RNA is filed under the name Triticum aestivum (bread wheat). RNAcentral describes it as "long non-coding RNA (TAES_LNC008825)". Lineage: Eukaryota; Viridiplantae; Streptophyta; Magnoliopsida; Poales; Poaceae. The record is from RNAcentral.